This 470-nucleotide ribosomal RNA is filed under the name uncultured bacterium. RNAcentral describes it as "partial 16S ribosomal RNA". It matches the Rfam family "Bacterial small subunit ribosomal RNA", at positions 29 to 506 of the family's 1533-position model. The record is from RNAcentral.
ACGCACGCUGGCGGCGUGCUUAACACAUGCCAGUCGAACGCUGAAGCUUGGUGCUUGCACUGGGUGGAUGAGUGGCGAACGGGUGAGUAAUACGUGAGUAACCUGCCCUUGACUCUGGGAUAAGCCUGGGAAACUGGGUCUAAUACUGGAUACGACAUGUCACCGCAUGGUGGUGUGUGGAAAGGGUUUUACUGGUUUUGGAUGGGCUCACGGCCUAUCAGCUUGUUGGUGGGGUAAUGGCUCACCAAGGCGACGACGGGUAGCCGGCCUGAGAGGGUGACCGGCCACACUGGGACUGAGACACGGCCCAGACUCCUACGGGAGGCAGCAGUGGGGAAUAUUGCACAAUGGGCGGAAGCCUGAUGCAGCGACGCCGCGUGAGGGAUGACGGCCUUCGGGUUGUAAACCUCUUUCAGCACGGAAGAAGCGAAAGUGACGGUACGUGCAGAAGAAGCGCCGGCUAACUACGU